GUCGGGAUAGUGCCCGGUGAAAAUGGUGGGGCGGCUCGGCACGCA
RNAcentral lists this small RNA (45 nucleotides) under Mycobacterium asiaticum. Its description in RNAcentral is "Mycobacterium sRNA Ms_AS-5". It matches the Rfam family "Mycobacterium sRNA Ms_AS-5". Lineage: Bacteria; Bacillati; Actinomycetota; Actinomycetes; Mycobacteriales; Mycobacteriaceae. The record is from Rfam by way of RNAcentral.